RNAcentral lists this ribosomal RNA (252 nucleotides) under uncultured bacterium. RNAcentral describes it as "partial 16S ribosomal RNA". It matches the Rfam family "Bacterial small subunit ribosomal RNA", at positions 524 to 776 of the family's 1533-position model. The record is from RNAcentral.
UACGUAGGUCCCGAGCGUUGUCCGGAUUUAUUGGGCGUAAAGCGAGCGCAGGUGGUUUAUUAAGUCUGGUGUAAAAGGCAGUGGCUCAACCAUUGUAUGCAUUGGAAACUGGUAGACUUGAGUGCAGGAGAGGAGAGUGGAAUUCCAUGUGUAGCGGUGAAAUGCGUAGAUAUAUGGAGGAUCACCGGUGGCGAAAGCGGCUCUCUGGCCUGUAACUGACACUGAGGCUCGAAAGCGUGGGGAGCAAACAGG